GAUGAACGCUGGCGGCGUGCCUAAUACAUGCAAGUCGAGCGAACAGACGAGGAGCUUGCUCCUCUGACGUUAGCGGCGGACGGGUGAGUAACACGUGGAUAACCUACCUAUAAGACUGGGAUAACUUCGGGAAACCGGAGCUAAUACCGGAUAAUAUAUUGAACCGCAUGGUUCGAUAGUGAAAGACGGUUUUGCUGUCACUUAUAGAUGGAUCCGCGCCGCAUUAGCUAGUUGGUAAGGUAACGGCUUACCAAGGCAACGAUGCGUAGCCGACCUGAGAGGGGGUCGGGCCACACGGAACUGGAACCGCGGCCCGGCUCCCAAGGGAAGGAGCAGGAGGGAAACUUUCGCAAAGGGCGGAAAGCCGGACGAAGAAACGCGGGGUGGUGGAUGAGGUGUUCGGAGUGGAAAAACUUUUUAAUAGGGGAAAAAAAAAUGUGAAGGUAACGAUGCCAGUCUGAAGGGACCCAAUUAAGAAGGCCAGGGCAACUUAGGG
RNAcentral lists this ribosomal RNA (496 nucleotides) under uncultured bacterium. Its description in RNAcentral is "partial 16S ribosomal RNA". It matches the Rfam family "Bacterial small subunit ribosomal RNA", at positions 28 to 507 of the family's 1533-position model. The record is from RNAcentral.